GACGAACGCUGGCGGCGUGCCUAAUACAUGCAAGUCGAACGCACAGUUUAUACCGUAGCUUGCUACACCAUAGACUGUGAGUUGCGAACGGGUGAGUAACGCGUAGGUAACCUGCCUGGUAGCGGGGGAUAACUAUUGGAAACGAUAGCUAAUACCGCAUAAUAUUGAUUAUUGCAUGAUAAUUGAUUGAAAGAUGCUAUUGCAUCACUACCAGAUGGACCUGCGUUGUAUUAGCUAGUAGGUGAGGUAACGGCUCACCUAGGCGACGAAACAUAGCCGACCUGAGAGGGUGAUCGGCCACACUGGGACUGAGACACGGCCCAGACUCCUACGGGAGGCAGCAGUAGGGAAUCUUCGGCAAUGGACGAAAGUCUGACCGAGCAACGCCGCGUGAGUGAAGAAGGUUUUCGGAUCGUAAAGCUCUGUUGUAAGAGAAGAACGGGUGUGAGAGUGGAAAGUUCACACUGUGACGGUAUCUGACCAGAAAGGGACGGCUAACUACGU
This 504-nucleotide ribosomal RNA is filed under the name uncultured bacterium. Its description in RNAcentral is "partial 16S ribosomal RNA". It matches the Rfam family "Bacterial small subunit ribosomal RNA", at positions 28 to 506 of the family's 1533-position model. The record is from RNAcentral.